Molecule: ribosomal RNA, 293 nt
Filed under: uncultured bacterium
Lineage: Bacteria
Description: partial 16S ribosomal RNA
Rfam family: Bacterial small subunit ribosomal RNA
Source: RNAcentral
CCUAUGGACGAAGCAGUAGGGAAUCUUCCACAAUGGGCGAAAGCCUGAUGGAGCAACGCCGCGUGGGUGAAGAAGGUUUUCGGAUCGUAAAACCCUGUUGUUAGAGAAGAAAGUGCGUGAGAGUAACUGUUCACGUUUCGACGGUAUCUAACCAGAAAGCCACGGCUAACUACGUGCCAGCAGCCGCGGUAACACGUAGGUGGCAAGCGUUAUCCGGAUUUAUUGGGCGUAAAGGGAACGCAGGCGGUCUUAAGGCUGAUGUUAAAGCCUUCGGCUUAACCGGAGUAGUGCAU